CAAAAACAACCUAUGUUAGAAGGUUGCCACUGUUUCUUCCAAGACAGAGCCAGUCACUCGCGGAGCAACUUUUGAUGUGGCCUGUGUGUCUCACCACUCCUAGAUGCCUGAGUGCUUACAUGUGAAAGCAGCAGCUUCCCACUUGCUGGGAGAGCCUUCUGGCACGGCCCUUCCGAUCCUACUAAACAGGGCACGUGGGUGGGAAGAGUGAGGACAGGAGGCAGAAGGGGGCUGGUGUGGGAAGGAGUGGAGGCUGAUCUCAGCGCACUCCUAGCAGCCUCUGUGGAAGGGUCUCAAGUGACCCUUGAGAUAGUGAGUUGUCAGUGUGAAAGGGAAGUCCUUGGGAUCAUUUGUGCCCCCCUUCCUUUCUAUCCUCCACCCCCACCACA
RNAcentral lists this long non-coding RNA (389 nucleotides) under Bos taurus (domestic cattle). RNAcentral describes it as "long non-coding RNA NONBTAT022623". The record is from RNAcentral. Lineage: Eukaryota; Metazoa; Chordata; Mammalia; Artiodactyla; Bovidae.